AUGAACGCUAGCGGCAGGCUUAACACAUGCAAGUCGAGGGGUAUAGUAGCAAUACUAGAGACCGGCGCACGGGUGCGUAACGCGUAUGCAAUCUACCUUUUGCAGAGGGAUAGCCCAGAGAAAUUUGGAUUAAUACCUCAUAGUAUAUAUGGAUGGCAUCAUUUAUAUAUUAAAGUCACAACGGCAAAAGAUGAGCAUGCGUCCCAUUAGCUUGUUGGUAAGGUAACGGCUUACCAAGGCAACGAUGGGUAGGGGUCCUGAGAGGGAGAUCCCCCACACUGGUACUGAGACACGGACCAGACUCCUACGGGAGGCAGCAGUGAGGAAUAUUGGACAAUGGGCGCAAGCCUGAUCCAGCCAUGCCGCGUGCAGGAUGACGGUCCUAUGGAUUGUAAACUGCUUUUGCACAGGAAGAAACAACGCUACGUGUAGCGUCUUGACGGUACUGUGAGAAUAAGGAUCGGCUAACUCCGUG
Molecule: ribosomal RNA, 475 nt
Filed under: uncultured bacterium
Lineage: Bacteria
Description: bacterial SSU rRNA
Rfam family: Bacterial small subunit ribosomal RNA
Source: RNAcentral